This is a long non-coding RNA of Heterocephalus glaber (naked mole-rat), 1598 nucleotides long. RefSeq lists it as uncharacterized. Lineage: Eukaryota; Metazoa; Chordata; Mammalia; Rodentia; Bathyergidae. The record is from RefSeq and is a predicted model, not a curated record.
CAGUUCGUCCCCCAGGCUGUCUCCUUUUCUUUCUUUAAAAGUCGGUGCUUUCCGGGGUCUCCGGUUUCCCUCAGGAGAAACCAACAAGUGGCACCCGAACAGGGACCUCCAAUACUCUCAGCGAGGUAUUGUGAAGACAAGGAAGCGAUCGACAUUCUGUUGAGUCAGGAUGGCGGAGCAACCCAAAUUUGGCUUCCUGGACGAAGAAUUAAGUUCCGGAGUCAAGACAAUAACCUGGAUGACGGACCUCCAAGAACAAAUAGUGCUUAAACGACCUUUAAGCACUAUUUCAGAAAGAUUUGAAAAAGAGAAUAACCUGGCAUCACAUUGAGUCGACAUAGAUGUCCACCCUCCUGACUUUUUCAAGAUCCUGUCUUCUGAUCUUCUAGACGUGCUGAAGAAAUCAACAAUCAACAAUUCAGUUUAAAUAAAAUUAAAAAGGGGGAAUAUUAUGGGAAAAUGUGGAUUUAGUUACUAAUUGUAAGAAGCUUGUGAAAUGAGAAAAUUAAGCAAUUCUCUGUGAAUGUCCUCAACUCUAGGAUUUGGUUACUAAUUGUAAGAAACUUGUUAAUUGAAAGAACUAAGUAAAUGUCUCAGAGAACUUCCUCGGGCCUGUUUGCUGAAAGGAUUGCAGAAAGCCUUAAAAGAUGAUGUAAAAGUUCAUAGGAAGUAAACAUGUUUUCCUAAGCUCUCUUAGUAACCAUUGUCCGGGGUCAGAGAAUCACGGGCCCCUGACUCUACAGAUGGAGGGAAAGAUUGUGGGCUUGAUUUCUGCAGAAAUCGCCCUGCUUUCCUGAAACAUCUGAUAGAGGAGGGCUGCGAUAUGCUCUUGGAUGUACGAUAUACUCUUAGAUGUACGGCUCUGGUGAACAGAGACACGAGACGUGUAAACUUGCCUGUGGCUUUAUGAGUUACUUGUUAACCUUUAAGACUAAGAUAAAUGUAACAAUGCAUGCCUUAACUGUGUGGGAUUGUGCCCCCCAAAAGAAAUUACUUAUAUGCUAAAACAAAAACAGAAACCAUCUCUGUUCCCUUUAUACAAUGAUUGAUAAAUUUAAAGAUGAUUUUUUUUAAUAUUAUUUCCUCUUUUACUAUAUCUCUUACUGUUUUAUAAAAUUAUAGAAGGACCAGACAUCAAAUUGAGCUGACAUAAGACGUCUCCCUUCCCGGCCUGUCAAGAUCCUGUCCCUUGAUCUUCUCGACGUUAGAAUCAAGAAUUUAGCCUAAAUAAAAUAAAAAAGGGGGAAUUGUGGGAAAUGGUAGAAUUCAGCUAUCUAGUUCACAAGAAGUUUGUUAACUAAGAGAAUUAAGUCAUUUCUGGGAAAUUCCACAAGUCUGUUUGUUAAAAGAAUGCCAGAAAACUUUGAGACCUUGUAAAAGUCUCACAGGAGAAAAACAGGUUUUCCUAGUUUUCUUAUUUACCAUUUUCUGGGAUCAAGAGGACCGCAACCCAAUGACUCCAUGGGUGGUGAGAGAGAUACGACUCACUAUGCACAUCUGUGAUGUUUAUGUGGGCCAGUGGGCUUGAUUUUUUGGCUAAAGUUGUCCUGCUCUCUUGAUACUAUCUGAUAAGAAGAGGGCUGUGGUGUGCUCUUUGA